Molecule: unclassified non-coding RNA, 336 nt
Filed under: soil metagenome
Description: partial contains 5.8S ribosomal RNA, internal transcribed spacer 2, and large subunit ribosomal RNA
Rfam family: 5.8S ribosomal RNA (bases 1-120)
Source: RNAcentral
GAUGAAGAACGUAGCGAAAUGCGAUAAGUAAUGUGAAUUGCAGGAUUCAGUGAAUCAUCGAAUCUUUGAACGCACAUUGCGCCCGCCAGUAUUCUGGCGGGCAUGCCUGUUCGAGCGUCAUUUCAACCAUCAAGCCCCCGGCUUGUGUUGGGGACCUGCGGCUGCCGCAGGCCCUGAAAAGCAGUGGCGGGCUCGCUGUCACACCGAGCGUAGUAGCAUACAUCUCGCUCUGGGCGUGCUGCGGGUUCCGGCCGUUAAACCACCUUCAUAACCCAAGGUUGAUCUCGGAUCAGGUAGGAAGACCCGCUGAACUUAAGCAUAUCAAUAAGCGGAGGA